Long non-coding RNA from Hippopotamus amphibius kiboko, 442 nucleotides. RefSeq lists it as uncharacterized. Lineage: Eukaryota; Metazoa; Chordata; Mammalia; Artiodactyla; Hippopotamidae. The transcript has 3 exons. The record is from RefSeq and is a predicted model, not a curated record.
ACAGAUGGGAAACCUGAGGCCAAAAGGGAUUCUGUGACUUGUCCAAGCUCACACAAAUGCAUACCUGUUUUUGACUUUUUUUUAAUUUUAUUUUUUAUGUGGACCAUUUUUAAAGUCUUUUUUGAAUUUGUUACAAUAUUGCUUCUGUUUUAUGUUUUGGUGUUUUGGUCGUGAGGCAUGUAGGAUCUUAGCUCCCCAACCAGGGAUUGAACCCAUUUUCCCCGCAUUGGAAGAUGAAGUCCCAACCACUGGACUGCCAAGGAAGGCCCUGUUUUUGAGGUAUAUUUUUAUGUGGAAGUUUUAUAUUUCCCCCCCAUGACUUGAUGAGUGAAUGACUCCCCAAAGAUCUCCAGGAAUGCAGUCAAAAGAAAAGCGUGACUCAAGAGGAAGAGGAGAGGAUUGAGGAUUGGGAAUUAUGGGCUGCAUUUAGUCUCACUAUUGA